GUACUGAUGAAGAGUCUCAAGCUAGGGCGAAACAGCUGUCCAGUAC
Molecule: non-coding RNA, 46 nt
Filed under: Trichobilharzia regenti
Lineage: Eukaryota; Metazoa; Platyhelminthes; Trematoda; Strigeidida; Schistosomatidae
Source: RNAcentral